AGGACGAACGCUGGCGGCGUGCCUAAUACAUGCAAGUAGAACGCUGAAGAGAGGAGCUUGCUCUUCUUGGAUGAGUUGCGAACGGGUGAGUAACGCGUAGGUAACCUGCCUUGUAGCGGGGGAUAACUAUUGGAAACGAUAGCUAAUACCGCAUAACAAUGGAUGACACAUGUCAUUUAUUUGAAAGGGGCAAUUGCUCCACUACAAGAUGGACCUGCGUUGUAUUAGCUAGUAGGUGAGGUAACGCUCACUAGUCGACGAUACAUAGCCGACCUGAGAGGGUGAGUCGGCCACGACUGGGACCUGAGACACCGGCCAGACUCCGUAGGGAGCUAGACGAGUAGGGGAAUCCGUUACGGGACGUAACGGUCGGGG
Molecule: ribosomal RNA, 375 nt
Filed under: uncultured soil bacterium
Lineage: Bacteria
Description: bacterial SSU rRNA
Rfam family: Bacterial small subunit ribosomal RNA
Source: RNAcentral